GAUGAAGAACGUAGCGAAAUGCGAUAAUUAAUGUGAAUUGCAGAAUUCUGUGAAUCAUCGAGUCUUUGAACGCACAUUGCGCCUCAUGGCAUUCCGUGAGGCAUGCCCAUCUCAGCGUUAGAAAAUAUUCUCAAAUUUUAGUUUUGUGCUAAAAUUUGGAUCAUGUCAAAGAAGCUAUUACUAUUAUUGUGAUCGCUCUUUGGAAAUUGAUAGGUCUUUGAGUUGUUACUCAUAGAACGUGAUGAAUCUUUCUUCGUUCUAUUGUAAUUCACUCUGGUAGUCCUAAAACUUGUAUGCCUGUGGCAUAUCUUGUAAUUUGACCUGAGAUUGGGUAGGGAUACCCGCUGAACUUAAGCAUAUCAAUAAGCGGAGGA
RNAcentral lists this unclassified non-coding RNA (374 nucleotides) under soil metagenome. RNAcentral describes it as "partial contains internal transcribed spacer 2 and large subunit ribosomal RNA". The stretch from base 1 to 120 matches the Rfam family "5.8S ribosomal RNA", at positions 35 to 154 of the family's 154-position model. The record is from RNAcentral.